RNAcentral lists this long non-coding RNA (241 nucleotides) under Manihot esculenta (cassava). RNAcentral describes it as "long non-coding RNA (MESC_LNC003517)". Lineage: Eukaryota; Viridiplantae; Streptophyta; Magnoliopsida; Malpighiales; Euphorbiaceae. The record is from RNAcentral.
UCGCCGCUGUUGGGAUAAACAACUAUCAACUUCUCAGUCAACUGGAGGCACAAAAGUUUUGCAGGCCAAGUUAUUCAAUUAGUAUAAUGAGCAACCAGAAUAAAUUGGCAAGUAUAUAUUUAUCCGUUAAUACUUGGGUGUAUUAUUUGAAGUUUACCCAUUUACCUCCUUAAAUUUGCAGAUGAGACUUUCAAUAAAAUGGGGAGGUGCACAGUUAAUUCCAACUGCAUUUAUUUUGUUG